This 253-nucleotide ribosomal RNA is filed under the name uncultured bacterium. RNAcentral describes it as "partial 16S ribosomal RNA". It matches the Rfam family "Bacterial small subunit ribosomal RNA", at positions 524 to 776 of the family's 1533-position model. The record is from RNAcentral.
UACGUAGGGUGCAAGCGUUAAUCGGAAUUACUGGGCGUAAAGCGUACGCAGGCGGCUUUGCAAGACAGGUGUGAAAUCCCCGGGCCUAACCUGGGAACUGCAUUUGUGACUGCAUGGCUAGAGUUUGUCAGAGGGGGGUGGAAUUCCACGUGUAGCAGUGAAAUGCAUAGAUAUGUGGAGGAACACCGAUGGCGAAGGCAGCCCCCUGGGAUGUGACUGACGCUCAUGUACGAAAGCGUGGGGAGCAAACAGG